This 271-nucleotide ribosomal RNA is filed under the name uncultured archaeon. RNAcentral describes it as "partial 16S ribosomal RNA". It matches the Rfam family "Archaeal small subunit ribosomal RNA", at positions 477 to 747 of the family's 1478-position model. The record is from RNAcentral.
CGGCGGCCCGAGUGGUGGCCGCUAUUAUUGGGCCUAAAGCGUCCGUAGCCGGGCCCGUAAGUCCCUGGCGAAAUCCCACGGCUCAACCGUGGGGCUUGCUGGGGAUACUGCGGGCCUUGGGACCGGGAGAGGCCGGGGGUACCCCUGGGGUAGGGGUGAAAUCCUAUAAUCCCAGGGGGACCGCCAGUGGCGAAGGCGCCCGGCUGGAACGGGUCCGACGGUGAGGGACGAAGGCCAGGGGAGCGAACCGGAUUAGAUACCCGCGUAGUCC